CCUACGGGGUGCAGCAGUGGGGAAUAUUGGGCAAUGGGCGCAAGCCUGACCCAGCAAUGCCGCGUGAAGGAAGAAGGCUUUCGGGUUGUAAACUUCUUUGACAGGGGAAGAGCAGAAGACGGUACCCUGAAAACAAGCCACGGCUAACUACGUGCCAGCAGCCGCGGUAAUACGUAGGUGGCAAGCGUUGUCCGGAUUUACUGGGUGUAAAGGGCGUGUAGCCGGGAAGGCAAGUCAGAUGUGAAAUCUGGAGGCUCAACCUCCAAAUUGCAUUUGAAACUGUUUUUCUUGAGUACUGGAGAGGCAGACGGAAUUCCUUGUGGAGCGGUGAAAUGCGUAGAUAUAAGGAGGAACACCAGUGGCGAAGGCGGUCUGCUGGACAGCAACUGACGGUGAGGCGCGAAAGCGUGGGGAGCAAACAGGAUUAGAUACCCCAGUAGUC
Molecule: ribosomal RNA, 442 nt
Filed under: uncultured bacterium
Lineage: Bacteria
Description: partial 16S ribosomal RNA
Rfam family: Bacterial small subunit ribosomal RNA
Source: RNAcentral